This is a long non-coding RNA of Helianthus annuus (common sunflower), 337 nucleotides long. RefSeq lists it as uncharacterized. Lineage: Eukaryota; Viridiplantae; Streptophyta; Magnoliopsida; Asterales; Asteraceae. The record is from RefSeq and is a predicted model, not a curated record. The transcript is spliced from 3 exons.
UCCAGGGGAGGAAGAAAGGGGAGCCAAAACCCUAGCUACUAGAAAUCAAGCAAAUUGAGUCACAAUUUGUGGGAAAUCCCUAUGCAUGAACCCUAAAAAUCAAGCAUCUAACCUUGGCUAGUAAAGAGGCAUAAAGGAAGAAGGUACCAGCACCAAGAAACCGGAAGGCGUGCAAGAUCGAUGUAAAGCACCUCUAUAGGCGAUUUGGAGUCAUGGGACGAGCACAUGUUCAAGCCUUAUAAUACCAAGCGCUUCCGCAACUUAUAUGCAUGUUUUUGGGUCCGUGUUUUGUUACUUUGUUAAACUUUGUUGAAAUGUUUUAGAUUUGAAAACUCGU